Molecule: ribosomal RNA, 482 nt
Filed under: uncultured bacterium
Lineage: Bacteria
Description: partial 16S ribosomal RNA
Rfam family: Bacterial small subunit ribosomal RNA
Source: RNAcentral
AUUGAACGCUGGCGGCAGGCCUAACACAUGCAAGUCGAGCGGAUGAAGGGAGCUUGCUCCUGGAUUCAGCGGCGGACGGGUGAGUAAUGCCUAGGAAUCUGCCUGGUAGUGGGGGAUAACGUCUGGAAACGGGCGCUAAUACCGCAUACGUCCUGAGGGAGAAAGUGGGGGAUCUUCGGACCUCACGCUAUCAGAUGAGCCUAGGUCGGAUUAGCUAGUUGGUGGGGUAAAGGCCUACCAAGGCGACGAUCCGUAACUGGUCUGAGAGGAUGAUCAGUCACACUGGAACUGAGACACGGUCCAGACUCCUACGGGAGGCAGCAGUGGGGAAUAUUGGACAAUGGGCGAAAGCCUGAUCCAGCGAUGCCGCGUGUGUGAAGAAGGUCUUCGGAUUGUAAAGCACUUUAAGUUGGGAGGAAGGGCAGUAAGUUAAUACCUUGCUGUUUUGACGUUACCAACAGAAUAAGCACCGGCUAACUUCG